ACCUCUCUCUUAUCCUCAUAAAAACCCUAUCACGUGCCUUGCAAAUGAAACGUCCCGGCGGUUUCCAUCGCCCCUCUGCUCUAUAAUACAUAUACAUAUUAGAGACUAAGAGAGAAUUGGAGUGAUAGAGAUGGAGAAACAGAGAAUAUGAGGGAUCCAAUCGGUGCUUCCGACGACCGGUCCACGGCGGCGUAGCCACCACCAUAACAUCAGCGACAGAGUAGUUUUUCAUCACCAAGCCUGAGUUCAAACCCUAAUUUUUCUCGAACGAAUACAGUAUAUUUUUAAUACCUUGCAGGAUUUGGAGAUCCCUGAUUUUUUUAUUGAUCUGUUGCUGGUAGAUAAGGCACAUAUCGAUCCUUUAUAUUAUUCAUCCAUUUGUUCCGAAUGUGUUGGUGCCUCCAAGAAGUAGUUUUAUUUCGUCUGCUUCAUCUGGGUCUGCUGCUGAAGUGAAGAAAGGGAAAGAAGGGCCUGACCGUUAUGAGUCUGAUAAUAUUCAGCAUUUGAAAUACGUGACGAGAACACCCAACUGUUCAUGAGGUGCGAGGAGUAUUUACAAAGGGAGACUGCGUUGAAAACUACGAAGGAUCCUAUUAGAGCAUUGAUGUUAUUGCAGACUCUAAUGGAGGUGUGGAGGAAUUUAAGAAACACGAUGGAAGGAUCACCUGACGCUAAUCACCCUAUUAGAUGUGCUGCUUCAUUGCCCGUCUUGCUAUGUCAUGGAGUCGGCUGUGGAAGAACGAUCGUUGGCUGUUUUUAGAAUUUCGAAAGACAAUCUCAUUUCAGGUACUCCAAGUGUGAUAUGCCCUACAACCCUGAUGCUUAUAUGGUGAAGUGAGUUGUGGGGGCUAGCUACAGCGAGUCUCCUGCAAUUGUGCAGUUCUGGGACGAGUCACGGGUUGAUUGAGGUAAAAAAACAGAUGAGUGGGCUUCUGAGAGGAUUCUGUUGUGUUUUUUAUUUGGACCUUAAAUCUUCACAAACGACCAAAAAUUAGCGGUUCACAGGUAUGUAAUGGGGGAUAUAUUUAUCUCUUAAUAUUUUGUUUUCGAUGGCGAGCUGUUAAUGUCGGUAAAUACGGUCCGAAUUGCAGUCAUGUCACAUAGCUAAAGUUUUAAUAGGUAUUGUUGAUUUGUUGAU
This is a long non-coding RNA of Helianthus annuus (common sunflower), 1138 nucleotides long. RefSeq lists it as uncharacterized. The transcript has 8 exons. The record is from RefSeq and is a predicted model, not a curated record. NCBI's taxonomy places the organism in Eukaryota, Viridiplantae, Streptophyta, Magnoliopsida, Asterales, Asteraceae.